RNAcentral lists this microRNA (22 nucleotides) under Solanum lycopersicum (tomato). Its description in RNAcentral is "sly-miR482b". Its record names the gene sly-miR482b. The record is from miRBase by way of RNAcentral. Lineage: Eukaryota; Viridiplantae; Streptophyta; Magnoliopsida; Solanales; Solanaceae. RNAcentral also lists the same sequence under 1 other name.
UCUUGCCUACACCGCCCAUGCC